RNAcentral lists this long non-coding RNA (301 nucleotides) under Lathyrus oleraceus (garden pea). RNAcentral's name for it is "Pisum sativum (pea) long non-coding RNA (PSAT_LNC019631)". Lineage: Eukaryota; Viridiplantae; Streptophyta; Magnoliopsida; Fabales; Fabaceae. The record is from RNAcentral.
AAACCCUUGGAAAGCAGUUACACCAGCAGCUGUAUAAAUAGCAGCUAAUUGGGAAGUUUCGGGAACCCCGGUUUUUCCACGCUUAUAUUGCCGAAGCUCUGCCAAUUUUCUUUUCACGCUUUUGCUUAUUUUUUCUUUUCCAGCACUUAACAUUGUUUAUUUUAUUUAUUUUCUUUUGCAAGUUCUACAUUCUUUUUUUUUCCCUUGCAAUUAUAUUGCCGAAGCUCUGCCAAUUUUCUUUUCACGCUUUUGCUUAUUUUUUCUUUUCCAGCACUUAACAUUGUUUAUUUUAUUUAUUUUC